AUGUGCCUGUGCGCAGAGAGCAGCCAUCUCGGGGGAACUCCGGUAGCUGGCGUGGCCUCGAGGCCGCUGGAUAAGUCGUUAGAAGCUGGCGCUGCUGGUUCCCAUUUCCGCAUUCCAGACACCCACAGUGCCGCCGGAGGAGGCACCACCCCAGGUCGGCCAAGGGAGCUGGGGCAGGUGGCCCUCACCUGGGGAGAACCUGGGACAGGAGGCACGCCUGGGGCCGCCGCAGAGCCACCUGCCCGCCGUGUGAGCAGGGCCGAGUCCGGGACGCCUGAUGCGUCACCUUUGACCUUGGCUGUUGGAAGACCUUGUAGGUUCGCGAGUAUCCAGGGCGAGGCAAGCUCGUGGAAUCGGUCCUCUGGAGCCCCGGAGAGCUCCGUGGAGGUGGCAGGAAGCAGCGGUGGGACAGCAGCCACAGGCCGUCAGCGGCGCUGGUCCCCGAAGCAUCGCCUACAGAACUCUCCACGCCCUUUACUCCAGCGAUUGUCACGUGUGUGACCCUCAGCGCUGUCCAGCCCUGGUGUUGUGAUCUGAAACGUUCGCCACAGAAUCGUCUAUUUGGACACUUGGUCCCCACCCAGUCUUGGGAUAUAGUGGAAGCUUUGGGGUGUGGGGCCCAGCUGGCAGCCUUGGAGCCAUGGCAGAGCUAGAGUGGUAGAGCCCAGCCCCGUCCCGCUCCCUGCCAUGAUGAGUGACCUCUCUCAAACCACGAGCCUGAGUCUCCCAGGUGGUUUUUCUCAGGGACUCUAUCUCAGCCCCUAGACUGCCUGGCACUUCAGGUCAUGCUGUUGGCUCAGCCUCUGUUACGCACGCGCUCCUGACUCCCUGCUCUAGCCUCCGACGUACUGGCUCUUGGCUUGCUGUGCGGCCCUCCCUCUUUCCUCCAUGCUGGCUGCAUACUGGAAUCAGUUGCUCAACUUACUUUCUUUGGUGGGGCUGGGCAGUCUCACUGUGUAGACCUGCCUGUCUUUCUUGAAACUCUCUGUGUAGACCAUCUGACCUUGAGCUCAGAGAUCCACCUGCCUCUGCACCACCAUGCCCAGCCUAGCUACAGCGCUUUUAAAAGACACUGUGUGUGCGGGGGAGGGGGGAGUGGGUCCAGGAUAAAGGCACUUGCUGCCAACCCUGAUGUCGAGAGUUCUGUCUCAGGACCUAAAUGGUAGGAGAAAACUGACUUCUGCUGGCUGUCCUCUGCAGGGGUGACAGUCCUGCCCUGGAUAGCCCUGCCCAGCGCCCCGAAGGGCUUCCCGGCUGUCCUCCUACAGAGCUGCCAUGCUCUAGAUCUCGCAUGUUCCCUGGAGGCUCACAUGCUAACGGCUAGAUUUUUAACCCGCGGUACUGUUGGAAGAGCCAGUGACAGGAACUUAGCCGGCCGGAGGCAUGCCUCUGUUGGGUACUAGAACCCUGCCUGGCUCUCUCUCCU
Long non-coding RNA from Meriones unguiculatus (Mongolian gerbil), 1426 nucleotides. The record is from Ensembl. Lineage: Eukaryota; Metazoa; Chordata; Mammalia; Rodentia; Muridae.